This 68-nucleotide transfer RNA is filed under the name Marmota monax (woodchuck). RNAcentral's name for it is "tRNA.Ala". The record is from RNAcentral. Lineage: Eukaryota; Metazoa; Chordata; Mammalia; Rodentia; Sciuridae.
GGAUUGUGGCUCAGCGGUGGAGCGCUCGCCUAGCAUGUGUGAGGUCCCGGGUUGGAUCCUCAGCAUCA